RNAcentral lists this long non-coding RNA (1391 nucleotides) under Daphnia pulicaria. Its description in RNAcentral is "uncharacterized LOC124338365, transcript variant X2". Lineage: Eukaryota; Metazoa; Arthropoda; Branchiopoda; Diplostraca; Daphniidae. The record is from RNAcentral.
CAAUGGCCGCUUUCGAUCGUACCCAGCAAUCUCCUCGACUUAAUUGUCAAUGAAUCUUAACUGUAAAACACUUAACAGUGAAUCAAUUCAACUGUGUUAUGUGCAAUAUUUUUUUAUUAUUAUCUUACGAUCACGGCGAGAGGGAUCUGUGAGAACCAACAAUCAACAUUUCCUUCAAGCUGGUUGCUAUAUGUAUACAGAAAAAAAUUGCCAUAGGCGGGAUUGUGAAGAUUGAAGACGAUGAGUAAAACCGGAUCAGUCAACGAGAAAGAACAGACAACCAGUUUCACCGGGAUACCACUGUGAAUUGCACGGAUUGCCUGGGCAUAUCCUGACAGUUUGAGGAUACUGCAACCCUCAGGGUUUUACCCCAUGCAGAUUUAGUUAGUGAAUUGUAGCUCAACUCAAUAAGGAGCUUUCGGUCAACUAUAUUUUCCACUUUAUUAAUUGUUGCAUGGGCAGAUCCGUCGUGUUAAACUAAUGGACUGCCCUACCGUCUUCCAGCAGGGCGAUUGAUGGUGUCUUGCCUAUCGCGAAAGAGGUAUCAUUUUCUUUUGUAUUCAUUUAUUGGUUGACUGCGGUUAUGAUUUGGUUUCGACUACAUUGACAAUACAGCCGGGAACCUUCACCUUCUGCAAUUGUCAGCGAGUAUCGCCAUAGAGAGAGACUUUAUCAGAACAAUCAGUUUCAAAGUAGGACUUUUGGCGCGUUUUGGCUUGCAAAGUUGCAAUUGGCCAAUUGCAGAGAUGCGGACGUUUUUAAUUGAAAGACAGAGAAUGGCAAUGUUGCCCGUUGCUUCCAACUUCAAGAUGGCUGCUGGCAUUCGAGAAUCGAGAUACGACGAGAAAUGACAGCAAGUGACAGUUCCCUAGAGUGAUGGAUCAUCUCGACUCCCGAGUCCUGAUUCAAGAUUUUCGUGGUGUUGUGGAAAGGAGAGCUACAGAUGGAAAUGCUAGAUGAGCAUAUUCAGCCUGCAUUUGCGUUUUCAAAAGAGUUCUUGCAAUUGUUCCAUGGUGGUUCUGGACUCCAGGUUUUGUGGUGUUGUGGAGAUUAAGAAUGGACAUGCUGUUUUAACUUUCUUUGAACUAUUUACAAAGCUGAAAAGGUUGAAGAAAAUUAAAUUGUGAAUAAAAUGUUGGGUCUUAAAUAGUGGUAAAUGUGUUAAAUAUCAGUUUGCAAAGGGAGAAUGUGUGAAAGUUUGAAAUUUGUUUCAGUUGAAUAAUUUUCCGGUUUUCGAUCUGAUGUCUAAAUAUGAUGCAUAUAAAAUGUAUUUUUUCAUCAAUAGUACAAGUUAUCUUCAGAGUACAAGCUGACAUCAGAGGAAUUUAAAUUCAUAUCUAUGUGAUUGUGUUUGAUUAGGUAAUGAUUGAAUAAAUGGAAUGCAAAUUAGA